CCCUGAUGUCACACUGCCAAGAAAAGCUUCUAGUGAGAAAGUAACUGCCCGUACCGCAAACCGACACAGGUAGUUGAGGAGAGAAUCCUAAGGUGUGCGAGAGAACUCUCGUUAAGGAACUCGGCAAAAUGACCCCGUAACUUCGGGAGAAGGGGUGCUGACCGCAAGGUCAGCCGCAGUGAAUAGGCCCAAGCGACUGUUUAUCAAAAACACAGGUCUCUGCAAAAUCGUAAGAUGACGUAUAGGGGCUGACGCCUGCCCGGUGCUGGAAGGUUAAGAGGAGAGGUUAGCGCAAGCGAAGCUUUGAAUUGAAGCCCCAGUAAACGGCGGCCGUAACUAUAACGGUCCUAAGGUAGCGAAAUUCCUUGUCGGGUAAGUUCCGACCCGCACGAAAGGCGUAACGAUUUGGGCACUGUCUCAACGAGAGACUCGGUGAAAUUAUAGUACCAGUGAAGAUGCUGGUUACCCGCGACAGGACGGAAAGACCCCAUGGAGCUUUACUGCAGUUUGAUAUUGCGUGUUUGUAUCACAUGUACAGGAUAGGUAGGAGCCGAAGAUACCGGGACGCCAGUCUCGGAGGAGGCAACGGUGGGAUACUACCCUUGUGAUAUGACCACUCUAACCCGCUGCUCUUAGCGAGCAGGGAGACAGUGUCAGACGGGCAGUUUGACUGGGGCGGUCGCCUCCAAAAAUGUAACGGAGGCGCCCAAAGGUUCCCUCAGAAUGGUUGGAAAUCAUUCGUAGAGUGUAAAGGCAGAAGGGAGCUUGACUGCGAGACCUACAAGUCGAGCAGGGACGAAAGUCGGGCUUAGUGAUCCGGUGGUUCCGCAUGGAAGGGCCAUCGCUCAACGGAUAAAAGCUACCCUGGGGAUAACAGGCUUAUCUCCCCCAAGAGUUCACAUCGACGGGGAGGUUUGGCACCUCGAUGUCGGCUCAUCGCAUCCUGGGGCUGUAGUCGGUCCCAAGGGUUGGGCUGUUCGCCCAUUAAAGCGGUACGCGAGCUGGGUUCAGAACGUCGUGAGACAGUUCGGUCCCUAUCCGUCGCGGGCGUUGGAAAUUUGAGAGGAGCUGUCCUUAGUACGAGAGGACCGGGAUGGACACACCGCUGGUGUACCAGUUGUUCUGCCAAGAGCAUCGCUGGGUAGCUAUGUGUGGACGGGAUAAACGCUGAAAGCAUCUAAGCGUGAAGCCCCCCCCAAGAUGAGAUUUCCCAUCACUUUAAGUGAGUAAGACCCCUGAGAGAUGAUCAGGUAGAUAGGUUGGGAGUGGAAGUACAGCGAUGUAUGGAGCGGACCAAUACUAAUCGGUCGAGGACUUAACC
This 1321-nucleotide ribosomal RNA is filed under the name metagenome. RNAcentral describes it as "bacterial LSU rRNA". It matches the Rfam family "Bacterial large subunit ribosomal RNA", at positions 1592 to 2925 of the family's 2925-position model. The record is from RNAcentral.